ACGGCCGCAAGGUUAAAACUCAAAUGAAUUGACGGGGGCCCGCACAAGCGGUGGAGCAUGUGGUUUAAUUCGAUGCAACGCGAAGAACCUUACCUGGUCUUGACAUCCACGGAAGUUUUCAGAGAUGAGAAUGUGCCUUCGGGAACCGUGAGACAGGUGCUGCAUGGCUGUCGUCAGCUCGUGUUGUGAAAUGUUGGGUUAAGUCCCGCAACGAGCGCAACCCUUAUCCUUUGUUGCCAGCGGUCCGGCCGGGAACUCAAAGGAGACUGCCAGUGAUAAACUGGAGGAAGGUGGGGAUGACGUCAAGUCAUCAUGGCCCUUACGACCAGGGCUACACACGUGCUACAAUGGCGCAUACAAAGAGAAGC
Molecule: ribosomal RNA, 368 nt
Filed under: Shigella flexneri
Lineage: Bacteria; Pseudomonadati; Pseudomonadota; Gammaproteobacteria; Enterobacterales; Enterobacteriaceae
Description: bacterial SSU rRNA
Rfam family: Bacterial small subunit ribosomal RNA
Source: RNAcentral